GUAAUUUGAUAGUAUACGAUCGCGUGUAAACAGACUUUGGCCUAGCCUUGGCCAGGAAAUCUGGGCCCACUACAACCGGUGGCCUAGGCCUAGGCUUGUAGAAAUGUAAACACUUUCGGUCCUGGCCUGGGCCUUAUUUUCAUGGCAACGUGUGUCCACAGACCACAGGGAGAGAUUUUAGAUUGACGUUUACGGAAAACGUCAAAC
This is a non-coding RNA of Paramuricea clavata, 207 nucleotides long. NCBI's taxonomy places the organism in Eukaryota, Metazoa, Cnidaria, Anthozoa, Malacalcyonacea, Plexauridae. The record is from the annotation of a GenBank genome assembly.